ACCUGGCUAGCUCAGCUGGUAGAGCAUGGGACUUUUGAUCUCAGGGUUGUGAGUUCAAGCCCCACAUUGGGCU
This 73-nucleotide transfer RNA is filed under the name Canis lupus familiaris (dog). It matches the Rfam family "tRNA". Rfam says of the family: Transfer RNA (tRNA) molecules are approximately 80 nucleotides in length. Their secondary structure includes four short double-helical elements and three loops (D, anti-codon, and T loops). Lineage: Eukaryota; Metazoa; Chordata; Mammalia; Carnivora; Canidae. RNAcentral also lists the same sequence under 1 other name. The record is from Rfam by way of RNAcentral.